RNAcentral lists this ribosomal RNA (327 nucleotides) under Triticum aestivum (bread wheat). Its description in RNAcentral is "partial small subunit ribosomal RNA". Lineage: Eukaryota; Viridiplantae; Streptophyta; Magnoliopsida; Poales; Poaceae. The record is from RNAcentral.
AUGGCCGCUAUUUUCAUGGCUGGCACGCAACCAGUGUUAAACUCCUCGACUGCUGCGGCCAUGACGAUCGGCUCAACUGCCGUUGCGACGGCUGGGGUGAGCGGCUCUGCGCGUCCGCCGGCUCAAGUCUUACCUGAACUCUUAGAUGCUUUGGCGACUCUGUUGGCCACAGAGGUGACUCUGGCAAAUCAAGUACAGCAUAAUGCGGAGGUUGCAAAGUUGCGGGAUGAGGUGGCCAAGGCCCGAGAGGACCUUGAAGCAGAGAAUGUUAGGAUGGCCAUGGAACGAGCCGCCUUGGAGGUCGAGACGCAGUGGAUAAGGGCAUAG